Molecule: microRNA precursor, 93 nt
Filed under: Loxodonta africana (African savanna elephant)
Lineage: Eukaryota; Metazoa; Chordata; Mammalia; Proboscidea; Elephantidae
Description: miRNA (ENSLAFG00000032879.1)
Rfam family: Eukaryotic large subunit ribosomal RNA
Source: RNAcentral
AAGCAGGAGGUGUAAGAAAAGUUACCACACCACAGGGAUAACUGGCUUGUGGAGGCCAAGCGUUCAUAGCGACGUCGCUUUUAGAUCCUUCGA